CGGCGUGCUUAACACAUGCAAGUCGAACGAGAAGAGAUGAGAAGCUUGCUUCUUAUCAAUUCGAGUGGCAAACGGGUCGAGUUAACGCGUAAGCAACCUGCCCUUCAGAUGGGGACAACAGCUGGAAACGGCUGCUAAUACCGAAUACGUCUUUUUGUCGCAUGGCAGAGGGAAGAAAGGGAGGCUCUUCGGAGCUUUCGCUGAAGAGGGGCUUGCGUCUGAUUAGCUAGUUGGUGAGGUAACGGCCCACCAAGCCGACGAUCAGUAGCCGGUCUGAGAGGAUGAACGGCCACACUGGAACUGAGACACGGUCCCAGACUCCUACGGGAGGCAGCAGUGGGGAAUCUUCCGCAAUGGGCGAAAGCCUGACGGAGCAACGCCGCGUGAGUGAUGACGGCCUUCGGGUUGUAAAGCUCUGUGAUCGGGGACGAACGGUCAGCAGACGAAUACUCUGCUGAAGUGACGGUACCCGAAUAGCAAGCCACGGCUAACUACGUG
Molecule: ribosomal RNA, 498 nt
Filed under: uncultured bacterium
Lineage: Bacteria
Description: bacterial SSU rRNA
Rfam family: Bacterial small subunit ribosomal RNA
Source: RNAcentral